Molecule: ribosomal RNA, 497 nt
Filed under: uncultured bacterium
Lineage: Bacteria
Description: partial 16S ribosomal RNA
Rfam family: Bacterial small subunit ribosomal RNA
Source: RNAcentral
GAUGAACGCUGGCGGCGUGCCUAAUACAUGCCAGUCGAGCGAACGGACGAGAAGCUUGCUUCUCUGAUGUUAGCGGCGGACGGGUGAGUAACACGUGGAUAACCUACCUAUAAGACUGGGAUAACUUCGGGAAACCGUAGCUAAUACCGGAUAAUAUUUUGAACCGCAUGGUUCAAAAGUGAAAGACGGUCUUGCUGUCACUUAUAGAUGGAUCCGCGCUGCAUUAGCUAGUUGGUAAGGUAACGGCUUACCAAGGCAACGAUGCAUAGCCGACCUGAGAGGGCGAUCGGCCACACUGGAACUGAGACACGGUCCAGACUCCUACGGGAGGCAGCAGUAGGGAAUCUUCCGCAAUGGGCGAAAGCCUGACGGAGCAACGCCGCGUGAGUGAUGAAGGUCUUCGGAUCGUAAAACUCUGUUAUUAGGGAAGAACAUAUGUGUAAGUAACUGUGCACAUCUUGACGGUACCUAAUCAGAAAGCCACGGCUAACUACGUG